AACAUCGCGCACCUGCGGGAACCUGCGGAAGGAUCAUUACCGAGUGCGGGUCCCCUCGCGGGGCCCAACCUCCCACCCGUGUCUACCGUCACCUGUUGCUUCGGCGGGCCCGCCUUCGUGCCGCCGGGGGGCCCUCUGCGCCCCCGGGCCCGCGCCCGCCGAAGACUCUAGGAACACUGAAUGAAGGAUGCCGUCUGAGUCAAACGACACAAUCGUUAAAACUUUCAACAAUGGAUCUCA
RNAcentral lists this unclassified non-coding RNA (240 nucleotides) under soil metagenome. Its description in RNAcentral is "partial contains 5.8S ribosomal RNA, internal transcribed spacer 2, and large subunit ribosomal RNA". The record is from RNAcentral.